Molecule: long non-coding RNA, 2050 nt
Organism: Colossoma macropomum (tambaqui)
Lineage: Eukaryota; Metazoa; Chordata; Actinopteri; Characiformes; Serrasalmidae
Exons: 3
Source: RefSeq, a predicted model, not a curated record
CUCAUCAUAUUUAGGUUACGGAGCUCCUUCCAGUGAUGCUGACCAUCAUUUCACCAUCAAUUAGGAAUCUCCAGUCAGUCCAGUAGUGUGGUGACUCUGCUGGACUGACUGGCCUCCUUAUCGGCACAGAAUCAUCUUCAAGACCAGGAGAAGGACCGGCUCUUAUACUGUCAUCAGAAGUGAUGAGAAUCUCACUGCCUUCCAGGAGGCAUAUGACCACUUCCUUCUGCUGGCUCAGAAUCCUUCCUAUGUUGGAGCUCAUUCCAGUGAUGGUGACCAUCAUUUCACCAUCUAUUAGGAAACUCCAGUCAGUCCAGUAGUGUGGUGACUCUGCUGGACUGACUGGCCUGUAAGUACAUGAUUCACUUAAUCAGCUCUUUCUUAUCUGACCGCUUUUCAAAUUAAAAUGUAUUUAUGGAUCUGAACGGCACUUUCAGUGUUUCUGAUUCCAUAUUUCUUUUUUUUCCUCCCUUUUUCUGUCUGUCAAGCCCCUGACCAAUCAGAAGGAGAAGCAGUGAGCGCUUACACAUUUAAAUGGCCAAUGCUUUGUAUUUCCAUGACUGAGAUCAGUGGAAUGUUAAAAGGUAUGAAAAAUUAAAUAAAGUGCAAUAAUUAAAACAUCAACAACCUCCUUUCUGUUUCCAUGUCUCUCUGCCCCACAGUCUGUCACACAAUGGGUCUAAAUGACUUUUUUUUUUAAGGCAUAAACGGUAGUAACUGACUUGAGAUCGGAGGUGUGAAGAGUUGUGCAGCAGAGAUGUGUACCCAAAAAUUGUACUGAGAAAACUAACUCAGCCAGAGAGCAACAGGUCAGUCACAAACAACAGCGCCUCUACUCACAUGACCACGUUAACACAGAGAGUUGAAGUUAUACUUUAUGUGUGUGAGACAUGGUCCAUCAUCUCUUCCUGUCUGUGUCUGCAGGGAUUACUGCUCAUCAUAUUUAGGUUACGGAGCUCCUUCCAGUGAUGCUGACCAUCAUUUCACCAUCAAUUAGGAAUCUCCAGUCAGUCCAGUAGUGUGGUGACUCUGCUGGACUGACUGGCCUGUAAGUACAUGAUUCACUUAAUCAGCUCUUUCUUAUCUGACCGCUUUUCAAAUUAAAAUGUAUUUAUGGAUCUGAACGGCACUUUCAGUGUUUCUGAUUCCAUAUUUCUUUUUUUUCCUCCCUUUUUCUGUCUGUCGAGCCCCUGACCAAUCAGAAGGAGAAGCAGUGAGUGCUUACACAUUUAAAUGGCCAAUGCUUUGUAUUUCCAUGACUGAGAUCAGUGGAACGUUAAAAGGUAUGAAAAACUAAAUAAAGUGCAAUAAUUAAAACAUCAACAACCUCCUUUCUGUUUCCAUGUCUCUCUGCCCCACAGUCUGUCACACAAUGGGUCUAAAAUGACUUUUUUUUUAAGGCAUAAACAGUAGUAACUGACGUGAGAUCGGAGGUGUGAAGAGUUGUGCAGCAGAGAUGUGUACCCAAAAAUUGUGCUGAGAAAACUAACUCAGCCAGAGAGCAACAGGUCAGUCACAAACAACAGCGCCUCUACUCACAUGACCACGUUAACACAGAGAGUUGAAGUUAUACUUUAUGUGUGUGAGACAUGGUCCAUCAUCUCUUCCUGUCUGUGUCUGCAGGGAUUACUGCUCAUCAUAUUUAGGUUACGGAGCUCCUUCCAGUGAUGCUGACCAUCAUUUCACCAUCAAUUAGGAAUCUCCAGUCAGUCCAGUAGUGUGGUGACUCUGCUGGACUGACUGGCCUGUAAGUACAUGAUUCACUUAAUCAGCUCUUUCUUAUCUGACCGCUUUUCAAAUUAAAAUGUAUUUAUGGAUCUGAACGGCACUUUCAGUGUUUCUGAUUCCAUAUUUCUUUUUUUUCCUCCCUUUUUCUGUCUGUCGAGCCCCUGACCAAUCAGAAGGAGAAGCAGUGAGUGCUUACACAUUUAAAUGGCCAAUGCUUUGUAUUUCCAUGACUGAGAUCAGUGGAACGUUAAAAGGUAUGAAAAAUUAAAUAAAGUGCAAUAAUUAAAACAUCAACAACCUCCUUUCUGUUUCCAUGUCUCUC